AACCACCGCAAUCUUCAGUUCUUCCCCGGAUCGGCGACGAUGCCGCGAGAUGGAGAGGGCCGGGAGAUUCGGGCAGCCUCGUGUUUGGCGCGGCAUCUGUGAGUUCCCAAGGCCAGCGUCGGCGUCGCAUAGUCAACACGUCGGUGUCAGUGUGAAUCCAAGGGAGUGAGUCAACCCGCUACCGCUACGUUGGGGUUGGCGGCAGUUAGCCGCGACGGUCGAGCGAUCUGGGCCCCGCGCCGCCGCGCUGAGAUUACUCCGGUGUGCUCGGGCCUGAGGAUGAGCUUCUGUUCGCCGCGCAGCCGCGGGUGGUGUGGCUCAAGAGCCGACGCGUCCAGCUCAAGGCCUUAUUAAGCCGUCAGCCGUGAAACAGCACACCUCUCCUUAUUUUGGCCUUUUGCUAUGCCAAUGCCGACAGAAGAGGUCCUACAGAUCAGACAUGCUACGGCCUACGGCGACAUAUGCUGCUGAGUGCUGAUGCUAUGCAGCUACAUAUGCCUACUGUAUAUAGAGAAAAUCAGAACGUCUGGAUUGGUACUUGUCACGACCACGAAAGAGCAGGAUCCUAACCGUCUACGAUCGGUGAUGACAGUGUCAUUUUCUGCUCCCUCUCUCAAAACCGUCCAUGCAUGUCGUCCGCCAUGUACCCGGCCUGUGCUCGACAAGACAAUCAUGUACUAGUAGGCCUUGUUUAGUUCCGAAAAGAUUUCGAAUUUCGGUACUGUAGCACUUUCGUUUGUUUGUGACAAAUAUUAUCCAAUUAUGGACUAACUAGAAUCAAAAGAUUCGUCUCGCGAUUUCCAACUAAACUGUGUAAUUAGUUUUUGCUUUCGUCUAUAUUUAAUGCUUCAUGCAUGUGCCGCAAGAUUCGAUGUGACGGGAAAUCU
This is a long non-coding RNA of Sorghum bicolor (sorghum), 887 nucleotides long. RefSeq lists it as uncharacterized. Lineage: Eukaryota; Viridiplantae; Streptophyta; Magnoliopsida; Poales; Poaceae. The record is from RefSeq and is a predicted model, not a curated record. The transcript is spliced from 3 exons.